Molecule: long non-coding RNA, 2111 nt
Filed under: Polistes fuscatus (common paper wasp)
Lineage: Eukaryota; Metazoa; Arthropoda; Insecta; Hymenoptera; Vespidae
Description: uncharacterized LOC122513238, transcript variant X2
Source: RNAcentral
CACACAUACACACACAUAUUAUAUAUAGCGUGAACAAAGUAAAAUAAAUUCGACCAACUAAAUUUAAUGCUACACGUCUAAAUCGGGGGUUACAUUUUCCAGAUUAUAUACCAUGCACAUCUUCAAAAAGUAAUUCUGCACGAAGAUAUUUACAUUUUUACAAAAAUAAUAUUCUGAAAUAAUGAAAAAACCAAAGAAAUAACAUGCGUGGUGUUAGUGACAAUAAUUUAAACAUGUGUAUAGAGAGAGUAAGUAACAAUAGUGGCGAACCAUUAAAAAGAUUUCACAAUAUCCACUAUAAUGGCGUAUCAUUCAAAAAGAUAUUCAGGAAAAUCAUUAUACUGACAUACCAUUUAAAAAUAUAUCUGGUAAAAUCAUCAUAAUGAUUUAUCGGUCAAAAUAGGAUAUUCCUGAAAGCCACUAUAAUGGUGUAACGUUCCUACAGAUGAAAAUUAUUAUAGUAAUAAUACUAGGAACUAUAGUUUCGUACUAUUCAAAAAAACAAAAGCCACUAUAGUGGUGUGCUAUUAAAAACAAAUGAAAACGAAUACAGUUUUGUGCCGUUAUAGAAGAUGGUAGCCACUAUAGUAGCAUACCGUUCAGAAAAAUAAAAUCCACGAAAGCCACUAUAUUGGCGUAUAGUUUAAAAAAAUAUCCACGGAAGUCAUUAUAUCGGUGUACCGUUUAUGAUAAUCAUUAUAGUGACGUACUAUUUAAACAAAAAACUUUAUACGCGAAAGCCAUUAUAGUGGCGUAUUGUUGAAAGCGAUACCCACAAAAGCCAUUAUAGUGGCAUACCGUUUAACCAUUUGUGACGUACCAUUAAAAAAAAUUGUAUACGCGAAAACUACUAUAGUGGCGUAUUGUUGAAAAAAAUACCCACAAAAGCCAUUAUAGUGGCGUACCGUUUAAAAAUGUACUUGGGUACUGUACCAUUAUAGUGGCGUAUUAUUGAAAGCGAUACCCACAAAAGCCAUUAUAGUGACAUACCGUUUAACCAUUUGUGACGUACUAUUAAAAAAAACUAUAUACGCGAAAGCUGCUAUAGUGGCGUAUUAUUGAAAAAAAUACCCACAAAAGCCAUUAUAAUGGCGUAUCGUUUAAAAAUGUACUUGGGAAAGCCAUUAUAGUGGCGUACCGUUUAAAAAUGUACUUGGGAAAGCCAUUAUAGUGGCCUACCGUUUAAAAAUGUACUUGGGAAAGCCAUUAUAGUGGCGUACCGUUUAAAAAUGUUCUUGGGAAAGCCAUUAUAGUGGCGUAUAGUAAGAAAAAAAUGAAAAAAAAAUAAAAAAAUUAUCGCGAAAAGUAGUAUAGCGGCGGCGUGUGUAGUGUGCUUAAGAAUUUAACGGAGAGGGUGAAUUCGUGACAUAUAACGCUUGACGAGAGAAAGUAAUGUGACGCGCCGCCGCAGCUCCGGUGUUGUUAGAAGAGCGGUGGUGGCGAUUCUUUGGUCUGUCGGUUCAGCUGUGAUCGCGACGCGCGUUAGUACAGAAGUUUGUAAGUGCGAGACUGGAUCCUUUCACUCGUUCCGAACGUAAAGUUGCACAAACGAAUAAAUAGUGUACGCGAGUGACUGCACUCCGCGCACGUGUGUUUCUUAUUUUUUUUUUUUAUUCCCCCUCACUCAGCCUCGUUGUUUCGAAUCGUAACAGUGUUACUCAAAGAAACGACAAAAUAAUAGUGUUCUAUUUAAGAUCUUAAAAGAGAAUCUAUCUCUCAAUCCACACGAACCUUGACCCUAAUUAACACUUACAAGCAGCACCCUAUCGUAGUCGCGUUUUUGUAUUCGCGGAUGCGCAAAUGCGCAAAUGCGCGAGUGCGCGAGCGCGCGCUCGCUCGCUUUAUUUUAGCGCGAUGCUCGAAUACAAAAAAAAAGGAGGAGUCACGCUUAAUCUUUAAAGUACCACCGGUAUAUAAGUGUGUACUCCUCCUACACCUCUCCCCCUCCCCCAUCCUUGGGUGGACGCGAUAAAUGAGAGACCUUUACUAUGCCAAGAGAUGAGUCUUCUCUGUCCACAAGCGAGGGAAGAGAAGGCGGAAGAGGAGGAGGACUAGCAUCAUCAUCAGCUUGGUUACCGAAAAUUUCCUCUGGGAAAAAUCGAUAUUGGGAA